UACAGUAACACCGGUCGAAAA
Molecule: non-coding RNA, 21 nt
Filed under: Caenorhabditis elegans
Lineage: Eukaryota; Metazoa; Nematoda; Chromadorea; Rhabditida; Rhabditidae
Source: RNAcentral